RNAcentral lists this long non-coding RNA (247 nucleotides) under Medicago truncatula (barrel medic). RNAcentral's name for it is "long non-coding RNA (MTRU_LNC001831)". Lineage: Eukaryota; Viridiplantae; Streptophyta; Magnoliopsida; Fabales; Fabaceae. The record is from RNAcentral.
AUUGAUUGAAAGUUGAUAGUCCAAGAAGGGAUAAAUAUAUUUGAUCUUGACUGAUUGUUGAACGAUGAUUGUUUUAAAUUAAUCUCAAGAAAAUGGUGGUAGUGGUUUGAACAGUGAAACUUUUUAUAAGAAAACGAUGGAUGGAGGUGGCGGUAGGGUUGAGUUUUGGUGGAUGAAAUGGUGCGUCUGACAACUAGCACAGGGAAGUUACUAUUAUUGACUUUCUGUCCAUAGAAAUACAAUGAAU